This 233-nucleotide ribosomal RNA is filed under the name uncultured bacterium. RNAcentral describes it as "partial 16S ribosomal RNA". It matches the Rfam family "Bacterial small subunit ribosomal RNA", at positions 118 to 351 of the family's 1533-position model. The record is from RNAcentral.
UGGGCAAUCUGCCCUUCACUCUGGGACAAGCCCUGGAAACGGGGUCUAAUACCGGAUAACACUCUGUCCCGCAUGGGACGGGGUUAAAAGCUCCGGCGGUGAAGGAUGAGCCCGCGGCCUAUCAGCUAGUUGGUGUGGGUAAUGGCCCACCAAGGCGACGACGGGUAGCCGGCCUGAGAGGGUGACCGGCCACACUGGGACUGAGACACGGCCCAGACUCCUACGGGAGGCAG